This is a long non-coding RNA of Dalotia coriaria, 822 nucleotides long. RefSeq lists it as uncharacterized. The record is from RefSeq and is a predicted model, not a curated record. The transcript is spliced from 3 exons. NCBI's taxonomy places the organism in Eukaryota, Metazoa, Arthropoda, Insecta, Coleoptera, Staphylinidae.
CGUGCCUUGGAGUCCCAUGAGUUCUGCAUUGUUAUAGCACUCGUACCUAGCAGUCCGAUAAGGUGUACACUGCAAUCGCCCUUUGAUUUCCGAUAGCCGACUCACGAGCUAAAUUAGAAUGCGAAUUUGAUUCGUUUCGUCGGUCGAUUCGGAUUUAAAAUAAAAUACAUUAGCCUGCGUGUUGCACCGCGUGAAAUACUGGUAUGUGGUAUGUGUAAUUAAGUGUUUGUUUUAUACAACAGAUUCAUGCGUGCUCGUAAUAUGUAGAUCAUUUUAGUCAUUGCAUACAAACUUGAGCGGGGUGUUUAAAAUGUAGAAUUAAAUUCUCUACUACUACGUUUGUGUAUAAACAACUUUUUGUUCGACUGACGCGUAAACGCGACGUACCUGCCUUGUACCUGGCAACGCGCAGCGCACACGGCAGUCGUUACACCGCGUGGUCCGCAAGCGUGUCUUUCUAAUCGCCACGCGUUUUGAGGUUUUAAUUAAAUUAAUCGACUGUAUUCUUUCGGCCAUCAGCAAAAUAUUCGGAAUGGGCAUGUGCGGCAGUUUUGUUUAAUGAUUUGUUGCGGUUAGAGUGUUCUUAACUAAUCUCUGCGCGAGUUUUCAGUUGGUAGAAUAUAUUACAGGAUAUAAAAUCUCCUCAUUAAAGCAAAUGUAUGUGUGUAAUAAAUUUUUUCAUGGAAACUUAAGGCGGUGUAACUUAAAUUGAUUAUUCCAUUUGAGGGAUACUAUUUUUGCAUGUAAGAUCUUGCAAAUUACAAACACGUGGUAGCAGUUUUAUCAAAAUUCUUAAUCGCGUUUCGGAAAAUAAUGUGCAUG